Molecule: long non-coding RNA, 791 nt
Filed under: Mustela putorius furo (domestic ferret)
Lineage: Eukaryota; Metazoa; Chordata; Mammalia; Carnivora; Mustelidae
Description: lncRNA (ENSMPUG00000029274.1)
Source: RNAcentral
UGCCCAGUGCUAGGACACACCCUGGAGGCAAAGUCUAAACAAGAUUAUGACCAAGGGAGGGGCUCCUGGUGACUGAGUCAGUGAAACAUCUGGCUCUGGAUCUCAGCCCAGGUCUUGAUCUCAGGGAUGUGAGUUAAGCCCCAUGAUGGGUUCCAAGUUGGACGUGGCAUGCACUUAAAGAAGAAAAGAAAAGACUAUUAGAAAAUGCACUUACAUAGAGGACCUAGGUGGGGUGCUCCACUGUAUGCAGACAUCCCCAAAGGUAUUGGGAGCUUGGGGGAAGGCAGAGAAAUGUGAGAUGGGGAGCCACCCUGCAGAGGGUAGGGAGAGGGUAUUUACCAUAGGAGGGUGACACAGGUUGUACCAUGAACAGAGGAGUAUUUGACCAGAAGAAGAGAAGGAGAGAGGGCAUUUGGUGCUGUGAGAAAGGCCAGUUUACCAUCAUUAUCAUUGGGGCAACUCUUACCCUCCAGAGGCAAAUCCCCCUCCUGGAUAAGCCCAGACGGAAGGGCUGGCUGUGCUGUCCCAGUCAGCAGGCUCUUCUGUCCAGGUUUGUCCUGACGUACUUCAUUCACAUCAUCAUCACCAGGACCAAAAUGACCCAGAGCCUAUGACAAGUGGCAGCCGGGACUAAGCCCUGGGCUGUAUGUGACUGGGGAAAAUAAAAGAAGACAAAGUAUUUGAGGGGAAGAAGGGUAUGUACAAAUAAGACCCUCUGGUUCUAUAUAUGUGCCACUGUGGUUCCAGAAUUCUGUAGAGAAAGGGCCUUCAGAUGGCAACCUUACUGGGAG